GUGCCAGUGACACUUUCACAUCAUUCUGAAGGCAAAAAGUACAAAGACUAAAACCAGUGAUUGACGCACA
RNAcentral lists this small nucleolar RNA (70 nucleotides) under Dipodomys ordii (Ord's kangaroo rat). RNAcentral's name for it is "Small nucleolar RNA SNORD63 (ENSDORG00000023111.2)". The record is from RNAcentral. Lineage: Eukaryota; Metazoa; Chordata; Mammalia; Rodentia; Heteromyidae.